UAAUUUUGAUUGACCGUAUCUUCUUUUUUUUUGGUUUGUGGAUUUAUGUUAUCUUUCUUUAUUUUUUUAUUAACUUGUUCUUCUUCUCAUAUAAUUUUUCCAAUCCGCCAUUGCUUUUUUCGCUGAAAGAUGGACGAAGGUAUGUAAUUUUUUUUUUUUCUUUAUUUUGUUUAGAUGAAAUCGUGUGUGUUUAGAAAUUUAAUUGUGUUUAUUUAAUAUGUUAUUAUUUUUCAUGUGUUUUAUUUUUAUUUUUGUUAUUUACAGUUUAUCGAUUUUUUUUAAGUUUGCACAAUGCAUUGAAAGUUCUUAUUGUUUUUAUUUCAGUUGAAGUUAUAGUUGAAUUAUGCUAUGUAAUUUUCGUCUUUUUGUUUAAUGUAUAUAUAUAUUUUUUGUUAUAUUCAGUUUAUGUAUUUUUUGCGCAAUGCAUUGAAAGUUCC
Molecule: long non-coding RNA, 437 nt
Filed under: Salvia miltiorrhiza (redroot sage)
Lineage: Eukaryota; Viridiplantae; Streptophyta; Magnoliopsida; Lamiales; Lamiaceae
Description: long non-coding RNA (SMIL_LNC012741)
Source: RNAcentral